UUUUGUUUUCCACAAGAAAUCACGAGUGGAGUGUCUCACUGCUGAUAUAUAUAUAUGUUGUUUGGCAUUUGCAUAGGUUGAUAUUCAUACUCGGUUCUCUUCUCUGGUUUUUGAGUGUGUGAUGAGUUGUCAUUGUUCCAAGCAAAGAAUUAAUAUUUUAUUAAUAAGUUGAAAGGAACAAUGACAACUCAUCACACACUCAA
RNAcentral lists this unclassified non-coding RNA (203 nucleotides) under Hevea brasiliensis (rubber tree). Lineage: Eukaryota; Viridiplantae; Streptophyta; Magnoliopsida; Malpighiales; Euphorbiaceae. The record is from RNAcentral.